Molecule: ribosomal RNA, 432 nt
Filed under: uncultured bacterium
Lineage: Bacteria
Description: partial 16S ribosomal RNA
Rfam family: Bacterial small subunit ribosomal RNA
Source: RNAcentral
CCUACGGGAGGCAGCAGUGGGGAAUAUUGGACAAUGGGGGCAACCCUGAUCCAGCAAUGCCGCGUGAGUGAUGAAGGCCUUCGGGUUGUAAAGCUCUUUCGGCGGGGAUGCGGUACCCGCAGAAGAAGCCCCGGCUAACUUCGUGCCAGCAGCCGCGGUAAUACGAAGGGGGCUAGCGUUGUUCGGAAUUACUGGGCGUAAAGGGCGCGUAGGCGGUGCUGUAAGUCAGGCGUGAAAUCCCCGGGCUCAACCUGGGAAUUGCGUUUGAUACUGCGGCGCUGGAAUGCGGGAGAGGAUGGCGGAAUUCCCAGUGUAGAGGUGAAAUUCGUAGAUAUUGGGAAGAACACCGGUGGCGAAGGCGGCCAUCUGGCCCGUAUUGACGCUGAGGCGCGAAAGCGUGGGGAGCAAACAGGAUUAGAUACCCUUGUAGUC